This 426-nucleotide ribosomal RNA is filed under the name uncultured Desulfovibrio sp. RNAcentral's name for it is "bacterial SSU rRNA". It matches the Rfam family "Bacterial small subunit ribosomal RNA", at positions 356 to 774 of the family's 1533-position model. The record is from RNAcentral. Lineage: Bacteria; Pseudomonadati; Thermodesulfobacteriota; Desulfovibrionia; Desulfovibrionales; Desulfovibrionaceae.
GGGGAAUAUUGCGCAAUGGGCGAAAGCCUGACGCAGCGACGCCGCGUGAGGGAUGAAGGCCUUCGGGUCGUAAACCUCUGUCAGGAGGGAAGAACCGCCAUGGUGCUAAUCAGCCAUGGUCUGACGGUACCUCCAAAGGAAGCACCGGCUAACUCCGUGCCAGCAGCCGCGGUAAUACGGAGGGUGCAAGCGUUAAUCGGAAUCACUGGGCGUAAAGCGCACGUAGGCUGUUUGGUAAGUCAGGGGUGAAAUCCCGCGGCUCAACCGCGGAAUUGCCCUUGAUACUGCUGGACUUGAGUUCGGGAGAGGGUGGCGGAACUCCGAGUGUAGAGGUGAAAUUCGUAGAUAUUCGGAAGAACACCAGUGGCGAAGGCGGCCAACUGGCUCGAUACUGACGCUGAGGUGCGAAAGCGUGGGGAGCAAACA